UACGUAUGGUGCAAGCGUUAUCCGGAUUUACUGGGCGUAAAGGGAGCGCAGGCGGCGCGCCAAGUCUGAUGUGAAACCCCGGGGCUCAACCCCGGGCAUGCAUUGGAAACUGGCGGGCUGGAGUGCCGGAGAGGUAAGCGGAAUUCCUAGUGUAGCGGUGAAAUGCGUAGAUAUUAGGAGGAACACCAGUGGCGAAGGCGGCUUACUGGACGGCAACUGACGCUGAGGCUCGAAAGCGUGGGUAGCAAACAGG
RNAcentral lists this ribosomal RNA (253 nucleotides) under uncultured bacterium. RNAcentral describes it as "partial 16S ribosomal RNA". It matches the Rfam family "Bacterial small subunit ribosomal RNA", at positions 524 to 776 of the family's 1533-position model. The record is from RNAcentral.